This is a long non-coding RNA of Apis florea (little honeybee), 1021 nucleotides long. The record is from RefSeq and is a predicted model, not a curated record. Lineage: Eukaryota; Metazoa; Arthropoda; Insecta; Hymenoptera; Apidae.
CAGUCGGCCGGCGCAUAAGCGGCGUCGGGCGCCGCAGUCGCGCGCUUGCACUCUCAGCGGUGAGCGGAGUUUGUAACGUGCGUAAUAGCUCUAAAACGUCUUCUGGUCUGUUUUGUUUGGCCGUUCGCGGCACGGCAGCGGGAACGUCAGCCCCGGUGUAUAUAUCUUCUUCGUUCAUCGAUUCCCCGUGCCCGUGUGUCUCGUUGUGUCUGGAGCAACCGUCGAAAGGGAGAAUAACAUAUAAUCGACUAGGAGUGGAGAGACAGAAACGGAGAGAAAGAGAGAGAGAAAGAGAGAGAGAACAAGCAGCCGUAGUAGGAACAUCGUGUGCACACGCGAGACUAACGUCGCUCCCCUUUCACCGAUACACGAUCAACGAGCACACGAGUGACUGUCGUCGAUGAAGAAGUAAAACGGAUAGAAAAGUGCACGACGUUGGGAGAAACGACGGGGAAUCGACGACGGUGGUGGUGUGUUCAAAGGGAAUAUAUCCAAUAGGGCAGACCGAAAACGACGCGGACGGUUGGUCGUGGUUUCGCGAGGCGAGGCGAGGCCGGCCGUUGUAAACCGGUGCUCUUCUAGGAUUCGUCGUGAGUCGUUCGAUUCGUGGUGUAUAUAUCGUAUAUAACAGACUUGGUUGGCCGGUUCACGGGAGAUCUGAUCGGAAACCAGUGACGUGUGGUACACGUGUUAUAUUAUAAUAACGCAGUGCAAGUGUUUCUCUAUUUGGCCCUGCCGCCUGUGUUCCGACAGGAGACCGUGCCGCUCGCUGACCACUGCCGGUUCAUCGUGUACACGUCGUUAUAUGGUGGUGGUGGUGGUGGUUGAGCAGCCGGUGGAGGAGGGCGGGUGCAGGGCCCAGGGCGAUGUGGCUAGCAAGUGGGAAAACUCGAGGAGGUGAUAACGACUUCUGACCUUCCGUGAGAGUGCGUACCGCGGCGUAGAGGGCGCCGCCGUCGAUUGUCAAGCGAAAAGGCUCACCAUUCGGAAGAAAACGAGGAGGAAAAAGCGAAAAAAGAAG